This 430-nucleotide ribosomal RNA is filed under the name uncultured bacterium. RNAcentral's name for it is "bacterial SSU rRNA". It matches the Rfam family "Bacterial small subunit ribosomal RNA", at positions 355 to 776 of the family's 1533-position model. The record is from RNAcentral.
UGGGGAAUAUUGCGCAAUGGGCGAAAGCCUGACGCAGCAACGCCGUGUGAGGGAUGAAGGCCUUUGGGUUGUAAACUUCUGUCAGCAGGAAAGAUGGGAAAACAGGUUAAUACCCUGUUAUUUUGAUGGUACCUGCAAAGGAAGCACCGGCUAACUCUGUGCCAGCAGCCGCGGUAAUACAGAGGGUGCAAGCGUUGUUCGGAAUCAUUGGGCGUAAAGCGCGCGUAGGCGGUUUAGUAAGUCAGGUGUGAAAUCCCGAGGCUCAACCUCGGAACUGCAUUUGAUACUGCUAGACUUGAAUCUCGGAGAGGGUGGCGGAAUUCCCGGUGUAGAGGUGAAAUUCGUAGAUAUCGGGAGGAACAUCCGUGGCGAAGGCGGCCACCUGGACGAUGAUUGACGCUGAGGUGCGAAAGCGUGGGGAGCAAACAGG